UGCUUGAGCAGUACAUUAAAAUUGGAACAAUACAGAGAUUAGCAUGGACCCUGUGCAAGAAUAACAUGCAAAUUCAUGAAGUGUUCCAUAAUUUA
Cercocebus atys (sooty mangabey) is the source of this 95-nucleotide small nuclear RNA. NCBI's taxonomy places the organism in Eukaryota, Metazoa, Chordata, Mammalia, Primates, Cercopithecidae. The record is from Ensembl.